GACGAACGCUGGCGGCGUGCUUAACACAUGCAAGUCGAACGAAGAGCGAUGGAAGCUUGCUUCUAUCAAUCUUAGUGGCGAACGGGUGAGUAACGCGUAAUCAACCUGCCCUUCAGAGGGGGACAACAGUUGGAAACGACUGCUAAUACCGCAUACGAUCUAAUCUCGGCAUCGAGGAUAGAUGAAAGGUGGCCUCUACAUGUAAGCUAUCACUGAAGGAGGGGAUUGCGUCUGAUUAGCUAGUUGGAGGGGUAACGGCCCACCAAGGCGAUGAUCAGUAGCCGGUCUGAGAGGAUGAACGGCCACAUUGGGACUGAGACACGGCCCAGACUCCUACGGGAGGCAGCAGUGGGGAAUCUUCCGCAAUGGACGAAAGUCUGACGGAGCAACGCCGCGUGAGCGAUGACGGCCCUCGGGUUGUAAAGCUCUGUUAAUCGGGACGAAAGGCCUUCUUGCGAAUAGUGAGAAGGAUUGACGGUACCGGAAUAGAAAGCCACGGCUAACUACGUG
Molecule: ribosomal RNA, 510 nt
Filed under: uncultured bacterium
Lineage: Bacteria
Description: partial 16S ribosomal RNA
Rfam family: Bacterial small subunit ribosomal RNA
Source: RNAcentral